UCCAGAGAGCAGCGAGCGGGAGCAUCCGCACCUGUGUCCCCGACAGCUGGCACGCUCUGCCCGUGCCACAGCCGCCAUCUGCGCCAGCGCCACGCGCCGCUGACGGGACUGGGGGGAAGGCAGGAGCAGGAAAGGGACUUCACACCACCACAGAGCUAACAGAUGUGCAGGAAUGUCCUGGGCUCGGCAUUGCUUUUCUCUCCAGCAGAAUCUGACUGACAGCACCACCACCAGGGAACAGCUGGGCCCAGGCACAUCACAUUCUGCUGGUCGGGAGAGAAGCUGAUUAGGCUAUGGAGUACCUAAUUGGACACCCCAAGCUUGGACUGCAGCAAUGGAGACUCAGUGUCCUUUCAAUAAAAAGUGCUGAAAGGAACUUCCAGCCAGAUCUUACAAGGCCUUGUAUCAAGUACCAGUGAUACUGGGAAUAUUCUCAACUUCAAUAAAGUCAGCUGGCAUGAAAAUCUAAUUU
Molecule: long non-coding RNA, 472 nt
Organism: Motacilla alba alba
Lineage: Eukaryota; Metazoa; Chordata; Aves; Passeriformes; Motacillidae
Exons: 3
Source: RefSeq, a predicted model, not a curated record